Non-coding RNA from Salvelinus sp. IW2-2015, 226 nucleotides. NCBI's taxonomy places the organism in Eukaryota, Metazoa, Chordata, Actinopteri, Salmoniformes, Salmonidae. The record is from RefSeq and is a predicted model, not a curated record.
CUGACCCCAAAUCUUUGGAGAUCAUUAUCCUCCUGUACGAUACGACAACACGUGUUGUGGUGAGGAACAACCGACAAAACCUGUUCAACUACAUCUUUGCCAGGCCCCUGCCGCGCUUCGAAGGCAGCUACUACCUGGCCGGAGUCCCAGAGGACAAGAUGCCUGAGAACCUGAAGGCCCUGUUCCUCGUCAGGGAUCUCUUAAAGGCUGUUUCAGGAAUCAGGCC